This 1500-nucleotide ribosomal RNA is filed under the name metagenome. RNAcentral's name for it is "bacterial SSU rRNA". It matches the Rfam family "Bacterial small subunit ribosomal RNA". The record is from RNAcentral.
AGAGUUUGAUCAUGGCUCAGAUUGAACGCUGGCGGCAGGCCUAACACAUGCAAGUCGAACGGUAACAGGAAGCAGCUUGCUGCUUCGCUGACGAGUGGCGGACGGGUGAGUAAUGUCUGGGAAGCUGCCUGAUGGAGGGGGAUAACUACUGGAAACGGUGGCUAAUACCGCAUAAUGUCGCAAGACCAAAGAGGGGGACCUUCGGGCCUCUUGCCAUCGGAUGUGCCCAGAUGGGAUUAGCUUGUUGGUGGGGUAACGGCUCACCAAGGCGACGAUCCCUAGCUGGUCUGAGAGGAUGACCAGCCACACUGGAACUGAGACACGGUCCAGACUCCUACGGGAGGCAGCAGUGGGGAAUAUUGCACAAUGGGCGCAAGCCUGAUGCAGCCAUGCCGCGUGUAUGAAGAAGGCCUUCGGGUUGUAAAGUACUUUCAGCGGGGAGGAAGGGAGUAAAGUUAAUACCUUUGCUCAUUGACGUUACCCGCAGAAGAAGCACCGGCUAACUCCGUGCCAGCAGCCGCGGUAAUACGGAGGGUGCAAGCGUUAAUCGGAAUUACUGGGCGUAAAGCGCACGCAGGCGGUUUGUUAAGUCAGAUGUGAAAUCCCCGGGCUCAACCUGGGAACUGCAUCUGAUACUGGCAAGCUUGAGUCUCGUAGAGGGGGGUAGAAUUCCAGGUGUAGCGGUGAAAUGCGUAGAGAUCUGGAGGAAUACCGGUGGCGAAGGCGGCCCCCUGGACGAAGACUGACGCUCAGGUGCGAAAGCGUGGGGAGCAAACAGGAUUAGAUACCCUGGUAGUCCACGCCGUAAACGAUGUCGACUUGGAGGUUGUGCCCUUGAGGCGUGGCUUCCGGAGCUAACGCGUUAAGUCGACCGCCUGGGGAGUACGGCCGCAAGGUUAAAACUCAAAUGAAUUGACGGGGGCCCGCACAAGCGGUGGAGCAUGUGGUUUAAUUCGAUGCAACGCGAAGAACCUUACCUGGUCUUGACAUCCACGGAAGUUUUCAGAGAUGAGAAUGUGCCUUCGGGAACCGUGAGACAGGUGCUGCAUGGCUGUCGUCAGCUCGUGUUGUGAAAUGUUGGGUUAAGUCCCGCAACGAGCGCAACCCUUAUCCUUUGUUGCCAGCGGUCCGGCCGGGAACUCAAAGGAGACUGCCAGUGAUAAACUGGAGGAAGGUGGGGAUGACGUCAAGUCAUCAUGGCCCUUACGACCAGGGCUACACACGUGCUACAAUGGCGCAUACAAAGAGAAGCGACCUCGCGAGAGCAAGCGGACCUCAUAAAGUGCGUCGUAGUCCGGAUUGGAGUCUGCAACUCGACUCCAUGAAGUCGGAAUCGCUAGUAAUCGUGGAUCAGAAUGCCACGGUGAAUACGUUCCCGGGCCUUGUACACACCGCCCGUCACACCAUGGGAGUGGGUUGCAAAAGAAGUAGGUAGCUUAACCUUCGGGAGGGCGCUUACCGCUUUGUGAUUCAUGACUGGGGUGAAGUCGUAACAAGGUA